UAAAAAAAAACUGGCAAUAUCGGGAAAUUCAACUUCAUCAUCACCUUCAUCGCCGUCAUGUUUAUCGGAGUUAGAGAACACUCAAAGCUUAAACGCGAAAGAUUGGCUUAAAUACAAUAUACAGCCAUUAGAAUUGGUAUUCAUGAAAUGGAAAGACUGCUUCAAUAUUAGGAGGUCAGACAUUUUAGAGAAUACCGCAGACAUUUUUGAAGACUGGCCACUUUUCACCCAAUCUUUUGGACUUCAUUUGAUUGAUUUGGACUUCAUUUCUCUUUUUAAUGAAGA
Molecule: long non-coding RNA, 285 nt
Organism: Episyrphus balteatus (marmalade hoverfly)
Lineage: Eukaryota; Metazoa; Arthropoda; Insecta; Diptera; Syrphidae
Exons: 3
Source: RefSeq, a predicted model, not a curated record